Molecule: non-coding RNA, 28 nt
Filed under: Bombyx mori (domestic silkworm)
Lineage: Eukaryota; Metazoa; Arthropoda; Insecta; Lepidoptera; Bombycidae
Source: RNAcentral
UGAUAACUGCAACUCUAAUUAUAGGCAA